AUUUCUUUCUUUCAUCUCUAUCCUAGUUUGUAUUUAAUUUCUUUGGUUUUCUUGGUUAUCAUUACUGAAUGUUAUUUUUAUUUUGUUUUGGGUACUGAUUGCUCAACUUGCAUUGAAAUUGAAACUAAGAGGUAAGAGAUUUGGUUGCUCAACUCACAUGGAAACUAAGAGAGAAAAAGAAGGGGCAAAAACUCAAAUAAAGUAAGAAACAUCAUAACACGAGUCAGAAGUUUUGAAGAAUUUGAUGGAGAAGAUGGAAGCAAAGUCAUGUUUAUAUUGGAAAACAAGUGUCCUGUAAUCGCAGUGAUGAAACAAACCAAACAUUUGGAUACAUUAGAUAAGGGUGAGAUUUACAUUUUAAGAGAAUUUGAAGAAGAAGAUGAAGAAGACUUCACGCAUACAAAAAGGAAGUAUACUCUGUGAAAAAAUGGUAUACAGAUGUCAAUUUCGGACAAACAAAAGUUAUUUAAGAAAUGGUAUACACAUUAACAUCUGUUAGUCUUGGUGGUCUUUAAGAAAGUCAUUUUGUAUAUUAACUUCUUAAGCACUUAUGAACAACCCAAUAAAAUACGUCGUUCAAUGCCAA
Molecule: long non-coding RNA, 586 nt
Organism: Vicia villosa (hairy vetch)
Lineage: Eukaryota; Viridiplantae; Streptophyta; Magnoliopsida; Fabales; Fabaceae
Exons: 3
Source: RefSeq, a predicted model, not a curated record